This 72-nucleotide transfer RNA is filed under the name Ixodes scapularis (black-legged tick). It matches the Rfam family "tRNA". Rfam says of the family: Transfer RNA (tRNA) molecules are approximately 80 nucleotides in length. Their secondary structure includes four short double-helical elements and three loops (D, anti-codon, and T loops). The record is from Rfam by way of RNAcentral. Lineage: Eukaryota; Metazoa; Arthropoda; Arachnida; Ixodida; Ixodidae.
UCCUGGUUAGCCCAGUUGGUAGAGCGCUCCACUGAAAUUGGAGAGGCCCCGGUUUGAUACCCGGACCAGGCG